Molecule: long non-coding RNA, 665 nt
Organism: Gossypium arboreum
Lineage: Eukaryota; Viridiplantae; Streptophyta; Magnoliopsida; Malvales; Malvaceae
Exons: 2
Source: RefSeq, a predicted model, not a curated record
GACUAGGCGCGCCAUAAGCCCAAAAAAAUUAAGUGGUCCACUCUUUUUGUAAUUAAAACCAAAAAAGUUGGUUGUCUGCCAUUAACAUUAAAAUUAAAAAAAAACCCCAUUUCUUUAAUCCCAUUCUGCUGAAUUCAAAAAAGAAAACCAAGGGGUUUAGCCCCCUUUCUCCUUCUGUUAGGGCGCAGCGCCCAUCAUCGCAGCGCUUCCCCUCCCCUGAGCGCUCAUCAGCGACCGUCGGAAACCAGGUGUUGUUGCGGAUAUCUCGGAAGCACGAGGCGUGACAAAGAGGGACUGCUGGUAGCGCAUGUCUCGGAGGUGCGGUGGAUGGUGGAGUGGGACGCUGGUGAGAGGCGUGCAGCGUGAGGGCUCAAGCAACAACUUUAGGUUUCUGUUUGUUUGGCCCUUGUUUGGGUUUAUUUUUGGGCCUGUGUUUUAGAUGUAAAUGGGUCUUGGGUUUGUGAGAUUUGGGCCUGGGCAUAAAUUUGGUCCUACAAAUAUGUUUAAGCAUUUGAUGCCUACGGGCUUUGUAUAUCGAUAGCUUGGUGUGGUGUAGUUCACCCACGUGUCCAAGUCCGUUUUAUUAAGGUUCCACUGAAUGAAACAUUGAAAUUAAAAUUUGAAACGGAAAAAUGAAAAUUAACCAGAUUUGAUAUGCUGAAAAA